GACGAACGCUGGCGGCGUGCUUAACACAUGCAAGUCGAACGGAAAGGCCCUGCUUUUGUGGGGUGCUCGAGUGGCGAACGGGUGAGUAACACGUGAGUAACCUGCCCUUGACUUUGGGAUAACUUCAGGAAACUGGGGCUAAUACCUGCUAGGAGCUCCUGCUGCAUGGUGGGGGUUGGAAAGUUUCGGCGGUUGGGGAUGGACUCGCGGCUUAUCAGCUUGUUGGUGGGGUAGUGGCUUACCAAGGCUUUGACGGGUAGCCGGCCUGAGAGGGUGACCGGCCACAUUGGGACUGAGAUACGGCCCAGACUCCUACGGGAGGCAGCAGGGGGGAAUAUGGCACAAUGGGCGGAAGCCUGAUGCAGAAACGCCGCGUGCGGGAUGACGGCCUUCGGGUUGUAAACCGCUUUCGCCUGUGACGAAGCGUGAGUGACGGUAAUGGGUAAAGAAGCACCGGCUAACUACGUG
Molecule: ribosomal RNA, 468 nt
Filed under: uncultured bacterium
Lineage: Bacteria
Description: partial 16S ribosomal RNA
Rfam family: Bacterial small subunit ribosomal RNA
Source: RNAcentral